UUAAGCGACUAAGCGUACACGGUGGAUGCCCUGGCAGUCAGAGGCGAUGAAGGACGUGCUAAUCUGCGAUAAGCGUCGGUAAGGUGAUAUGAACCGUUAUAACCGGCGAUUUCCGAAUGGGGAAACCCAGUGUGUUUCGACACACUAUCAUUAACUGAAUCCAUAGGUUAAUGAGGCGAACCGGGGGAACUGAAACAUCUAAGUACCCCGAGGAAAAGAAAUCAACCGAGAUUCCCCCAGUAGCGGCGAGCGAACGGGGAGCAGCCCAGAGCCUGAAUCAGUGUGUGUGUUAGUGGAAGCGUCUGGAAAGGCGCGCGAUACAGGGUGACAGCCCCGUACACAAAAAUGCACAUAUUGUGAGCUCGAUGAGUAGGGCGGGACACGUGGUAUCCUGUCUGAAUAUGGGGGGACCAUCCUCCAAGGCUAAAUACUCCUGACUGACCGAUAGUGAACCAGUACCGUGAGGGAAAGGCGAAAAGAACCCCGGCGAGGGGAGUGAAAAAGAACCUGAAACCGUGUACGUACAAGCAGUGGGAGCACGCUUAGGCGUGUGACUGCGUACCUUUUGUAUAAUGGGUCAGCGACUUAUAUUCUGUAGCAAGGUUAACCGAAUAGGGGAGCCGAAGGGAAACCGAGUCUUAACUGGGCGUUAAGUUGCAGGGUAUAGACCCGAAACCCGGUGAUCUAGCCAUGGGCAGGUUGAAGGUUGGGUAACACUAACUGGAGGACCGAACCGACUAAUGUUGAAAAAUUAGCGGAUGACUUGUGGCUGGGGGUGAAAGGCCAAUCAAACCGGGAGAUAGCUGGUUCUCCCCGAAAGCUAUUUAGGUAGCGCCUCGUGAAUUCAUCUCCGGGGGUAGAGCACUGUUUCGGCAAGGGGGUCAUCCCGACUUACCAACCCGAUGCAAACUGCGAAUACCGGAGAAUGUUAUCACGGGAGACACACGGCGGGUGCUAACGUCCGUCGUGAAGAGGGAAACAACCCAGACCGCCAGCUAAGGUCCCAAAGUCAUGGUUAAGUGGGAAACGAUGUGGGAAGGCCCAGACAGCCAGGAUGUUGGCUUAGAAGCAGCCAUCAUUUAAAGAAAGCGUAAUAGCUCACUGGUCGAGUCGGCCUGCGCGGAAGAUGUAACGGGGCUAAACCAUGCACCGAAGCUGCGGCAGCGACGCUUAUGCGUUGUUGGGUAGGGGAGCGUUCUGUAAGCCUGCGAAGGUGUGCUGUGAGGCAUGCUGGAGGUAUCAGAAGUGCGAAUGCUGACAUAAGUAACGAUAAAGCGGGUGAAAAGCCCGCUCGCCGGAAGACCAAGGGUUCCUGUCCAACGUUAAUCGGGGCAGGGUGAGUCGACCCCUAAGGCGAGGCCGAAAGGCGUAGUCGAUGGGAAACAGGUUAAUAUUCCUGUACUUGGUGUUACUGCGAAGGGGGGACGGAGAAGGCUAUGUUGGCCGGGCGACGGUUGUCCCGGUUUAAGCGUGUAGGCUGGUUUUCCAGGCAAAUCCGGAAAAUCAAGGCUGAGGCGUGAUGACGAGGCACUACGGUGCUGAAGCAACAAAUGCCCUGCUUCCAGGAAAAGCCUCUAAGCAUCAGGUAACAUCAAAUCGUACCCCAAACCGACACAGGUGGUCAGGUAGAGAAUACCAAGGCGCUUGAGAGAACUCGGGUGAAGGAACUAGGCAAAAUGGUGCCGUAACUUCGGGAGAAGGCACGCUGAUAUGUAGGUGAAGUCCCUUGCGGAUGGAGCUGAAAUCAGUCGAAGAUACCAGCUGGCUGCAACUGUUUAUUAAAAACACAGCACUGUGCAAACACGAAAGUGGACGUAUACGGUGUGACGCCUGCCCGGUGCCGGAAGGUUAAUUGAUGGGGUCAGCGCAAGCGAAGCUCUUGAUCGAAGCCCCGGUAAACGGCGGCCGUAACUAUAACGGUCCUAAGGUAGCGAAAUUCCUUGUCGGGUAAGUUCCGACCUGCACGAAUGGCGUAAUGAUGGCCAGGCUGUCUCCACCCGAGACUCAGUGAAAUUGAACUCGCUGUGAAGAUGCAGUGUACCCGCGGCAAGACGGAAAGACCCCGUGAACCUUUACUAUAGCUUGACACUGAACAUUGAGCCUUGAUGUGUAGGAUAGGUGGGAGGCUUUGAAGUGUGGACGCCAGUCUGCAUGGAGCCGGCCUUGAAAUACCACCCUUUAAUGUUUGAUGUUCUAACGUGGACCCGUGAUCCGGGUUGCGGACAGUGUCUGGUGGGUAGUUUGACUGGGGCGGUCUCCUCCUAAAGAGUAACGGAGGAGCACGAAGGUUGGCUAAUCCUGGUCGGACAUCAGGAGGUUAGUGCAAUGGCAUAAGCCAGCUUGACUGCGAGCGUGACGGCGCGAGCAGGUGCGAAAGCAGGUCAUAGUGAUCCGGUGGUUCUGAAUGGAAGGGCCAUCGCUCAACGGAUAAAAGGUACUCCGGGGAUAACAGGCUGAUACCGCCCAAGAGUUCAUAUCGACGGCGGUGUUUGGCACCUCGAUGUCGGCUCAUCACAUCCUGGGGCUGAAGUAGGUCCCAAGGGUAUGGCUGUUCGCCAUUUAAAGUGGUACGCGAGCUGGGUUUAGAACGUCGUGAGACAGUUCGGUCCCUAUCUGCCGUGGGCGCUGGAGAACUGAGGGGGGCUGCUCCUAGUACGAGAGGACCGGAGUGGACGCAUCACUGGUGUUCGGGUUGUCAUGCCAAUGGCACUGCCCGGUAGCUAAAUGCGGAAGAGAUAAGUGCUGAAAGCAUCUAAGCACGAAACUUGCCCCGAGAUGAGUUCUCCCUGACCCUUUAAGGGUCCUGAAGGAACGUUGAAGACGACGACGUUGAUAGGCCGGGUGUGUAAGCGCAGCGAUGCGUUGAGCUAACCGGUACUAAUGAACCGUGAGGCUUAACCUU
This 2902-nucleotide ribosomal RNA is filed under the name Shigella sonnei. RNAcentral describes it as "bacterial LSU rRNA". It matches the Rfam family "Bacterial large subunit ribosomal RNA". The record is from RNAcentral. Lineage: Bacteria; Pseudomonadati; Pseudomonadota; Gammaproteobacteria; Enterobacterales; Enterobacteriaceae.